AGUCCGACAGCAGUUUCAGUGGACAGAAAGCAGGUGCAGGCAGGGCUCUAUGCCUUCCAGAGGCUCUGGGGGAAAAUUUGCUCCCUCCGUCUCCCAGCUCCUGGAUCUCCGUUCUUUGGCUCACGGCCCCUCCCUUCAUGUUCAAAGCCCGCGGGAGGGUGGAUUCAGAUCCCACUGCUUCCACCAUCACUUCACCAGCUGCCUCCUGUGUGUGGGCAUCAGCUCCUGCCUCUCUCUAGUCCGGAGGCUUGUGACGGCAUUCAAGGCCCACCCAGCUAAUCCAGGAUAAUCUUCUCAUGACAAAAUUCUUCAUUCAGACAAACCUGCAAAACUUUUCCCACAUAAGACUUCAGCUGAGUAACACUGUCCCUUAGCAACUCUGACCGGUUUUCAAGAAAGAAGUGUCUCAUCUUACCCCAUUGCUGUGGAUGCACAUGGAGACAGUUUCCCGGGUUUCAGCAUGAUCAGAUGUCCAUGCCACAAGAGCUGGGGCUCGUUCACUCCCCCACCCAGGGCCCGGAAAGCAGACCUUGACAACCACACUGCAAACCUGUGCAUUGAGACAUUCCAGAAACUAGGUGUUAUAAAACUGCUGUGUGCCUAGCCCUGUGCUAUCAGGGAGGCAGAGGGCAUACGAGGCAUUGCCCCAAACUCCGGGAGCUUCCAGCACAAAGACGAUGUCUUCCUUCUGAUUGCAAGAUGUUGCUGUAGUUCCUGGCACCAGCAGAUGCAAUCCUCCAGAGUUGGAAAGAGCCAUUUCCUCCAGGGCGGCUCCUUUUUUUAGGAGAGAAACUCUUUUGCAGUAAUCCCGCACCCUAUCCCCCAAACUCUCCUUUAGGUCCACAUGACGAGAUGGGGUUUGCCGGUCUGGGCCCUGAAUGAGAAGCUGAGGAGGGGAGUAUUGGCAUUUUAAGUCUUCAGAGUGGGAGGUGGGUCCUACCAGCAAGGGGAGUGGGAUAUCUCAGCCAAGAAUGUCUAUUAUGUAA
This is a long non-coding RNA of Mustela lutreola (European mink), 986 nucleotides long. RefSeq lists it as uncharacterized. The record is from RefSeq and is a predicted model, not a curated record. Lineage: Eukaryota; Metazoa; Chordata; Mammalia; Carnivora; Mustelidae. The transcript is spliced from 3 exons.